UACGAGGGGGGCAAGCGUUGUUCGGAAUUAUUGGGCGUAAAGGGCGCGUAGGCGGUUUGACAAGUCUGAUGUGAAAUCUAUGGGCUCAACCCAUAGUCUGCAUUAGAAACUGUCGGGCUUGAGUAUGGGAGAGGUGAGUGGAAUUUCCGGUGUAGCGGUGAAAUGCGUAGAUAUCGGAAGGAACACCUGUGGCGAAAGCGGCUCACUGGACCAUAACUGACGCUGAGGCGCGAAAGCUAGGGGAGCAAACAGGAUUAGAUACCCUGGUAGUCCUAGCCCUAAACGAUGAUUGCUUGGUGUGACAGGUACCCAAUCCUGUCGUGCCGAAGCUAACGCGAUAAGCAAUCCGCCUGGGGAGUACGGUCGCAAGGCUGAA
RNAcentral lists this ribosomal RNA (376 nucleotides) under uncultured bacterium. RNAcentral's name for it is "bacterial SSU rRNA". It matches the Rfam family "Bacterial small subunit ribosomal RNA", at positions 524 to 898 of the family's 1533-position model. The record is from RNAcentral.